GACAACCUGGGGGCAACUCUGGGGGAAAGUGGCGAAAGGGGCAGUAAUGCGUGGGUAACCUACCCCCGGGACGGGGAUAGCCAUCCUAACGGGUGGGUAAUACCCGGCGANGUAGCGAAGGCGCCUGUCUUUGCUAUGAAACGAUUUAUCGCCUGGGGAGGGGCUCACGUGAUAUUAGCUAGUUGGUAGGGUAACGGCCUACCAAGGCUUAGAUGUCUAGCGGGUGUGAGAGCACGACCCGCGCCACUGGCACUGAGACACUAGCCAGACUCCUACGGGAGGCUGCAGUCGAGGAUCUUCGGCAAUGGGCGCAAGCCUGACCGAGCGACGCCGCGUGCGCGAUGAAGGCCUUCGGGUUGUAAAGCGCUGUCGAGGGGGAGGAAGGCCGUCAAAUCGGCUUGACCUAUCCCUGGAGGAAGCACGGGCUAAGUUCCGUGCCA
This 440-nucleotide ribosomal RNA is filed under the name uncultured bacterium. Its description in RNAcentral is "bacterial SSU rRNA". It matches the Rfam family "Bacterial small subunit ribosomal RNA", at positions 68 to 510 of the family's 1533-position model. The record is from RNAcentral.